RNAcentral lists this long non-coding RNA (3385 nucleotides) under Mus musculus (house mouse). Its description in RNAcentral is "long non-coding RNA chr9:34504541-34507926". Lineage: Eukaryota; Metazoa; Chordata; Mammalia; Rodentia; Muridae. The record is from RNAcentral.
UUUGUCCCUAAAUUAACUUUCAUUCUUGCUUUAAAAGAGAAGGAAACUAAGCCUAAGUUAUUCUGUGGCCUCUCUGAGGCUGCACAAGAUACUGAGUGUGACAAUUCCCAUGAGAACCUAGGGGCUUCAAAUUGGAGCCCCUUUCAUGGUUCCUCCAGGCCUCCGCUCAGGGUCCCUACAUAUAGGAUGGUAUACUUAAAGGUGUUUGGGAAAUGAGGAGCCUGAAGCAUGUCCUGUGUGAUCACAUGGAGGUACUGUGUUGGGUGCCCACUGUGUGGCAGAAAGGAAACUUGAGAAUGAAUUUUAUCAAGAUUCUUGUUAACAGUAUUUGGUGUUGAUUUCCACCAAGGCACAAGGGUCUUUACAUAUGGUAGGCUGUGGAGAACCACUCUUGACCAUAAAUCUAGGUUAUAAAUGAGACUAAAUACAGAGAACACUGUAGUCCAUUGCAUAAAUAAGUAAUACCACUAUCAGCCAGGAAGUGCCAGGAAGUUCCUCUCGAUGCAGGCAUCCGGCCAUGACUCUCUAUCAUACAGUUUCUAUGUGUGCUAGUCUAUCAACUGGUGGAAAACUUCCUAAGGCUCUAAAGCUCCCAGUUCAAACCCAGUUCAUUCUCCAAGCAUGUAACUCCGGCCCUACACCAAUGGCCAGGAGGACACUGGCUUCACCUAGUAUAGGAUCUUGGGCUUCAUCCUCCUCUGUAAAUAGAAUCAGGGUUCCCCUCCUGCCUGUCUCAAUACUGUGGGGCUGGUGAUUUGACAUGCUGUGAAGGGCUUUCAGCCAAGGUGAGGUGUUUGGUACCCUCCGGUUCCAUGUUUCCAGAUGUGUCAAGGUAUUGCUAAAGUACAGCAUCAACCUGCUUGGAACAGUUAGUUUCCUUUGAGGUUAGAUUCUGUGUGGCUUUCAGGGGAAGCAAGGCCUUCGGGGAAAGAUGGGGUGGUUUGACAAAGUCAACUCCUUAAUGAUCUAAAGGCAUCCACUGUCUAUAAAGAAUUAGCUUAUCUCCUGUGCUUCUGAAACAAUACCAUCUCGUGAUCUCCAGGGGACGUGAGAAAAAGUUAUUCACAGUAUUUGCUGAAAUCCCUGCCUGAGAAAAGGAAGCUGAGCCGAGGGAAGCUGUGCAGGAACAGUUUCAAUUCCUUUCGAUCCCUGCCUUAAGAAGUUUUUGAGAAGUUACUGGCUUAAAAUGAGACAAAUGAUUAUCUGACAUUUCAGGAGGUCCGGCUCAUGUUUCACAUUAUCCACCACUUCUGCCUCCCAUCCUUGUGCUUUUCCCUUCCAGAGAACUUUAACAUCUAUUUCAGCCCCAACAGGUUUGAUAUAAUCAUGGCCAUCUUCUCCUCUAGCACUUUAACCUAAUGAUGUUCACCAAAAUCUAUUUUGUCACAUAAGAUAACCCAUCCAGGGGGCUAGACAUGGGAAUCUUUGGGGUCCAUUCUUUGGUCUACUACCAACACUAAAGAAAUAAACUUGGAUGGGCUUUCCCACUCUGGAUAAACAUCCUGCCCAUGUGGGAACUCUGCCUCAGUCUCCCUCUCUGUAAGUUAGAGAGAGAAUGACACCCCUGCUCUGCCAUUUAUAUCUAUAAAUAAAGUAGUUGUGGAUUAUUAAAUAAAGGUUGUUGAAUACGAAAUGGUUAUUAUACUAUGGAUUGACAUAAAUUACGCCUGCAUUAUUCAAUGGAGCCACUGCUAUCGUUGAGUUCCGUAGGGGAGAGAUUAGGGGAGCAUCUAUUAGAUUCUGUAGUUAAAUCGCACUAAAUGGUUCUUAAUAGCAAUUGACUUUGCCUUCAUUAGCAUAGAGCAAGAGAACUCCCCCUUUAAAACACCAUAUACCCGGGGCCUCCUCCUGUCUUUGGAGUAAUUGAAACGAAAUAGAGAUCCAGUAGCAACAACAGUGAGAGAGAAAGGAGAAAUGCUUGCUGUGGUUUUCUGCGUUUGGUCUGCUGCAGUUAGGAAGAGGUUUGCCGCCUGUACUUAGCUUUUUCUCCCCAGGCUUGUGCUUGAGUGUCUGGCUUUUGAAUGAGUAUCUGGUGAAAGAAGGUGGGGAACUUGGACAGACAGGAAGGCUGAGAACUGGAGGACCCAUUUGUUGGUCUGUCUUUACACUUGAUGGAGCAGGGUAGAAUAUCAGGCAUAUCACAGGACCAUUUUGCUCUUUGAAUUCAGUCAAUGUCCUUUAAAGUGGUCAAGAAGUCUGGUUCUUAUUAGAGAGUGUUUUAGGAGGGUGAGACUUUAGCUCUCCCUGUUCAGGUGACCCACAGGUGCAAAAAGAUUCCUGGGGAAGUUUGAGACCAUGAAGCACCUUCUCUGAGACCUUGGCCUGUCAAUGGCCAGAGGGGUCAGCUCUGCCUAAGCCAGAUCCUAGACCUCCCAGAGUCUGAAUAUACCACAGUCAACCUUCCAACUCCACUCAAAGAGCCAGAGAGGGAAACAAUCGGUAUCUCAUGGUAAUGUCUUGAAAUGGGUUUAUAAAGGGUUCAGCCCUCAAAGGACCUGUGUCCAAGAAGGAUUAUUUUGCCACUAAACUGUCCCAGGUGGGAGCAUCAAGAACAACUCCAGGCCUUGGGGCUUGGGGAAUUAAAGGAGAGGGACAAACUCUGAAAAUGAUUAUAAUCCCAUUAUGCACAGCUUCUCCUAUUUAUUUCUUCAUAUGGAUGAAUUUGUAUAUAUUUGCAUUUUGUUCUAUCUGAUAAUAUGCAUAGAAUUCAAAUUGAAAUGACUUGAAUAGAUUUGAAUAUUAAUGAGGCGUUUAAAGGCUGCCAUCCCUGGCAGAGUCCCCAACAAGGGAAUGUGCCAGGCAGAAGCUCAGAUCUGUCCUCCAGCAUGCCAACAGAAGCCUGCAGGCACAGGCUGGGAAACACCCUGAGGAUAGACUGCCCCUGGGGUAGAGCUGAAGGGUGCCCCAGUGCUCCGGGCCUGGACUCUUUCUACACUGAAGGGGCCAUUGAGCUUGUGAGCCUUGAGGCCUUAGACAUUCAGACACAGGUUAAAUAGCACUGUAAAAGGCAAGCUAUUUUCCAGACAUGCUUAACUGAUCUUCCCUCAGGGAGUCAGGUGGUAGGGAACAGGUUCUUUUCAGAGAACCUUUCUUCAGUGCCCCUAAAGGUGCUAGGCCUCUUCUUCUUACAUCUAGAACACACAUGAUUCUUUUUUGUUAUCUUCCAACUAAAAACAGCCAUUAGACUGCAUGCCCAAUGUGGGUCUGAAGGCUACAGAACUCUGCUAAGAAGUCAGCCUAUGUGUGUGCUCUUUCACAGCAGCAUGUUAGCACUAUUCAAGGGCCUGCUUUAGCCAAGGGCUGAACUUUAAGAAUAAAAAGAGAGAAUGUCUUGUAAAACUAAAGCGACCAUUAUAAUUCAACUGGUUAUUUUCUUUUUAAGUUU